UGAGGGAAUAUUUGGGGUCAAUGGACGCAAGUCUGAACCAGCCAAGUCGCGUGCAGGAAUAAGGCCCUAUGGGUCGCAGACUGCUUUUGCAUGAGAAUAAAAAAGUGGGACGAGUCCCACCCUGUAGGUAUCAUGCGAAUAAGGAUCGGCUAACUCCGUGCCAGCAGCCGCGGUAAUACGGAGGAUCCGAGCGUUAUCCGGAUUCAUUGGGUUUAAAGGGAGCGUAGGCCGGAGGGUAAGCGUGUUGUGAAAUGCAGUUGCUCAACAUCUGCACUGCAGCGCGAACUGUUCUCCUUGAGUGCGCAGGAAGUAGGCGGAAUUCGUCGUGUAGCGGUGAAAUGCUUAGAUAUGACGAAGAACUCCGAUUGGGAAGCCAGCUUACUGUAGC
This 388-nucleotide ribosomal RNA is filed under the name uncultured Prevotella sp. Its description in RNAcentral is "bacterial SSU rRNA". It matches the Rfam family "Bacterial small subunit ribosomal RNA", at positions 354 to 735 of the family's 1533-position model. The record is from RNAcentral. Lineage: Bacteria; Pseudomonadati; Bacteroidota; Bacteroidia; Bacteroidales; Prevotellaceae.